Molecule: unclassified non-coding RNA, 348 nt
Filed under: soil metagenome
Description: partial contains 5.8S ribosomal RNA, internal transcribed spacer 2, and large subunit ribosomal RNA
Rfam family: 5.8S ribosomal RNA (bases 1-120)
Source: RNAcentral
GAUGAAGAACGCAGCGAAAUGCGAUAAGUAAUGUGAAUUGCAGAAUUCAGUGAAUCAUCGAAUCUUUGAACGCACAUUGCGCCCGCCAGCACUCUGGCGGGCAUGCCUGUCCGAGCGUCAUUUAACCCUCAGGGCCCCUUCGGGGGACCUGGCGUUGGGGAUCGGCCCGCCCCCGUGCGGCGCCGUCCCCGAAAUAUAGUGGCGGUCUCGCUGCAGCCUCCCCUGCGUAGUAGCACACCUCGCACUGGAGAGCGGCGCGGCCACGCCGUGAAACCCCCAACUUCUGAAUGUUGACCUCGGAUCAGGUAGGAAUACCCGCUGAACUUAAGCAUAUCAAUAAGCGGAGGA